This 209-nucleotide unclassified non-coding RNA is filed under the name Hevea brasiliensis (rubber tree). The record is from RNAcentral. Lineage: Eukaryota; Viridiplantae; Streptophyta; Magnoliopsida; Malpighiales; Euphorbiaceae.
GGAACAUUUCGUAGCCAAGUCGUAGCUAUUAAAAUGCUGAAGCCUGAACGUGUAAAUGCAGAUAUGCAGAGUGAAUUUGCGCAGGAAGUUUAUAUUAUGAGGAAGGUUCGCCAUAAGAAUGUUGUUCAAUUCAUUGGGGCUUGUACCCGACCCCCAACCUUGUGUAUUGUUACUGAGUUUAUGUCAGGUGGCAGUGUGUAUGACUUUCU